Ailuropoda melanoleuca (giant panda) is the source of this 214-nucleotide long non-coding RNA. RefSeq lists it as uncharacterized. The record is from RefSeq and is a predicted model, not a curated record. Lineage: Eukaryota; Metazoa; Chordata; Mammalia; Carnivora; Ursidae. The transcript has 3 exons.
CUGGUGGCAAUUAACAGUCCCAAGUAUCCUCUGCAGUAAUGCAAAGGAAGUAGGAGGGGAUGGGAUCCUAGACUAACAGAAGGCACCAUAGCUGCCUCUGAGGACCUUGAAGAUCCCAACUACCCUCUGCCAUAAUGCAUAGAGUUGAAGGGGAUUCAUUUAAGCACAUUAACAGUCCCAUAUACGCUCCAUGAUAAUGCAAAGGGAGUAGGUA